GCUGCCUUAGCUCAGUGGUAGAGCACUUCCUUGGUAAGGAAGAGGUCUUGGGUUCAAGUCCCAAAGGCAGCACCA
This 75-nucleotide transfer RNA is filed under the name Planctomycetota bacterium. Its description in RNAcentral is "tRNA-Thr". It matches the Rfam family "tRNA". Rfam says of the family: Transfer RNA (tRNA) molecules are approximately 80 nucleotides in length. Their secondary structure includes four short double-helical elements and three loops (D, anti-codon, and T loops). The record is from RNAcentral. Lineage: Bacteria; Pseudomonadati; Planctomycetota.